CGGUAGCUCAGUCGGUAGAGCAUCGGACUGAAAAUCCGAGUGUCGGCAGUUCAAUUCUGCCCUG
Molecule: transfer RNA, 64 nt
Filed under: Syntrophaceae bacterium
Lineage: Bacteria; Pseudomonadati; Thermodesulfobacteriota; Syntrophia; Syntrophales; Syntrophaceae
Description: tRNA-Phe
Rfam family: tRNA
About the family: Transfer RNA (tRNA) molecules are approximately 80 nucleotides in length. Their secondary structure includes four short double-helical elements and three loops (D, anti-codon, and T loops).
Source: RNAcentral